Molecule: long non-coding RNA, 1852 nt
Organism: Catharus ustulatus (Swainson's thrush)
Lineage: Eukaryota; Metazoa; Chordata; Aves; Passeriformes; Turdidae
Exons: 2
Source: RefSeq, a predicted model, not a curated record
GGUGGCUUUGGGGCAAAGUCCUUCUCACAGAUGUGUGCUAUGAUGCCAGCAGCCAGGGCGUCACCAAGGACGUUGGUCAUGGUUCGUAGUCGGUCCCUGCGGAGAGACAGCCAGGAUGCAAGGGGUGGCCAUGGCCAGUGUGCCUGGGAUGAUGAUGGCUUUGGAACAGUCUGCCCCCAUCCUGAAUGUCCCUCUUGCUGGUGUUGCCAAGUGCUGGGUUGGUUUUGCAGAUGCAGAGAGAAAAUGGCCUCUAUUGUAAGCCUUGUGCUGGGGCAGCAUCUCUCUCACCCUGCCUGUGUGAGCAGUGCAGGGGCCUGCCAAUGCCACCUCCCAAACUGCCAAUGCACCUCCCAAACUGGGAUAGGCACUGUUGUGCUAAGUGGAGGGAGAGCUGCCUCAGCAGAUCAUAAAACUCCUUGAGAUGCCUCUCGAGGAGAAAUCCUGUAGAUCCAGCCACUGGCCCUCUCGUGUCUACCCAGGCACCUCUCAUUAGUAGAAGGUGCCAGAGGUGCUGUGUACCCUGUGAUGCUGAAAGGCUGAACUGGUGGUGCGUUAACCUUCCUUUGUGGGGGAUAGAGAAAAGGGGGAGGGAAAGAGAAAAGCAGCCAUGAUACUUGGCACUGUUUCCUCUUCUCCCUGGGGGAGUACAAACCAGCCACCUAUGUGUGGCUUCUGUAACUCAGCAUCUGCUCUCUGUGGUUUCUCACCUAAUGACUCGCUUCAUUUUUAUCUUACUUUAAAAUGGCACAUUUCAGAAGCUGUGCGUUUAUUUGUCUGUGAUAAGUGUAAUCCAGCAUCAGUUUCUGUCUGAAAGGAAUCUGGUUUCAUCUAUCAAGAUGAAGAUACAUCACCAUGAACUGACCCUGGGCACCGCCCACAGCAGUGCCUGGAGAGCACUUACAGAGCCCAGUCGACGGCAAUGAUGAGGGUGAUGUCCUCGGUGGGCAGUCCCACGGAGGUGAGCACAAUGACCAUGGUGACGAGCCCGGACUGCGGGAUGCCAGCGGCCCCAAUGCUGGCUGCUGAGGCCGUGAUGCUGCAAAGAGAAGGUGGCUGUGCAAUUCAAACUGUCAUGGCAAAGUUACUGCUGUGUGGAAGGACUGAUUGGAUGUGACUUGCUCCACCUUCUUGUUCCCAGGUGCUAUCACACAUUGCCCUGUGCAUGGCGGGGGCUGGCAGUGGCUGUCCUGGCUCUGUGCUCCCCUGCGCCUUAAGGCAUGAAGAUGACAACUGUUCCUAUGGGAUGAGGAAUGGAGGAAGAAGAACAGAUUGAAGAAAGGAAACCACAGAAGUCAAUUGGAUUGCGACAGGCUCUGGGAGACGGGGACUGCAUUUUGGAAAGGCUCUGGAUGCAGAGUGGUGGCCCCAGACAUGGGCCUAGGACAAGGAGCAGGGUAUUCUCUCUGUGACAGUUCUCCCUCCCUUAGCUGGCUCCAGAGCACAGGGCGGAGAAGCCUGAUGGAGACAGAGCUGGAGAUCCAGGUUCAGGAGGAGACCAGGUCAUUAAGAGUUGCAGAAGCAAUAUUUGCAGCGGUGGGCACUAGGGAAGGGAGGCAUAGUCCAGGUGGUUUUAUUUGGAUUAUGUGGAGAAGCAACAGAGAGGCCAGGAAAACCCUUUACCUGGUCAAAUGUGCUCCAGGAAAAUGUUUGAAUUUGUGUCUUCAGGAAAGGAUGGUGGUUUAUAGUGUGAACUUUCUUUCAUUGUUAUAAGGAAUGUAUUUAAAUGAAAAUAGAAUAGGUAAAUAUAAUCUAAAAUGAUUAAAAUCUUUUCAAAGUAGGCAAGAUUUUUCUGUUGGACGAACUUGAGACACACUGUAGUUGAUUUUAGGUUGUCAAUAAAGUGUUCAGAAGA